AAAUUGAAGAGUUUGAUCAUGGCUCAGAUUGAACGCUGGCGGCAGGCCUAACACAUGCAAGUCGAACGGUAACAGGAAGCAGCUUGCUGCUUUGCUGACGAGUGGCGGACGGGUGAGUAAUGUCUGGGAAACUGCCUGAUGGAGGGGGAUAACUACUGGAAACGGUGGCUAAUACCGCAUAACGUCGCAAGACCAAAGAGGGGGACCUUCGGGCCUCUUGCCAUCAGAUGUGCCCAGAUGGGAUUAGCUUGUUGGUGAGGUAACGGCUCACCAAGGCGACGAUCCCUAGCUGGUCUGAGAGGAUGACCAGCCACACUGGAACUGAGACACGGUCCAGACUCCUACGGGAGGCAGCAGUGGGGAAUAUUGCACAAUGGGCGCAAGCCUGAUGCAGCCAUGCCGCGUGUAUGAAGAAGGCCUUCGGGUUGUAAAGUACUUUCAGCGGGGAGGAAGGUGUUGUGGUUAAUAACCGCAGCAAUUGACGUUACCCGCAGAAGAAGCACCGGCUAACUCCGUGCCAGCAGCCGCGGUAAUACGGAGGGUGCAAGCGUUAAUCGGAAUUACUGGGCGUAAAGCGCACGCAGGCGGUCUGUCAAGUCGGAUGUGAAAUCCCCGGGCUCAACCUGGGAACUGCAUUCGAAACUGGCAGGCUUGAGUCUUGUAGAGGGGGGUAGAAUUCCAGGUGUAGCGGUGAAAUGCGUAGAGAUCUGGAGGAAUACCGGUGGCGAAGGCGGCCCCCUGGACAAAGACUGACGCUCAGGUGCGAAAGCGUGGGGAGCAAACAGGAUUAGAUACCCUGGUAGUCCACGCCGUAAACGAUGUCUACUUGGAGGUUGUGCCCUUGAGGCGUGGCUUCCGGAGCUAACGCGUUAAGUAGACCGCCUGGGGAGUACGGCCGCAAGGUUAAAACUCAAAUGAAUUGACGGGGGCCCGCACAAGCGGUGGAGCAUGUGGUUUAAUUCGAUGCAACGCGAAGAACCUUACCUGGUCUUGACAUCCACAGAACUUUCCAGAGAUGGAUUGGUGCCUUCGGGAACUGUGAGACAGGUGCUGCAUGGCUGUCGUCAGCUCGUGUUGUGAAAUGUUGGGUUAAGUCCCGCAACGAGCGCAACCCUUAUCCUUUGUUGCCAGCGAUUAGGUCGGGAACUCAAAGGAGACUGCCAGUGAUAAACUGGAGGAAGGUGGGGAUGACGUCAAGUCAUCAUGGCCCUUACGACCAGGGCUACACACGUGCUACAAUGGCGCAUACAAAGAGAAGCGACCUCGCGAGAGCAAGCGGAUCUCAUAAAGUGCGUCGUAGUCCGGAUUGGAGUCUGCAACUCGACUCCAUGAAGUCGGAAUCGCUAGUAAUCGUGGAUCAGAAUGCCACGGUGAAUACGUUCCCGGGCCUUGUACACACCGCCCGUCACACCAUGGGAGUGGGUUGCAAAAGAAGUAGGUAGCUUAACCUUCGGGAGGGCGCUUACCACUUUGUGAUUCAUGACUGGGGUGAAGUCGUAACAAGGUAACCGUAGGGGAACCUGCGGUUGGAUCACCUCCUUACCUUAAAGAA
RNAcentral lists this ribosomal RNA (1552 nucleotides) under Salmonella enterica subsp. enterica serovar Napoli. RNAcentral's name for it is "bacterial SSU rRNA". It matches the Rfam family "Bacterial small subunit ribosomal RNA". Lineage: Bacteria; Pseudomonadati; Pseudomonadota; Gammaproteobacteria; Enterobacterales; Enterobacteriaceae. The record is from RNAcentral.